Molecule: long non-coding RNA, 2497 nt
Organism: Tarenaya hassleriana
Lineage: Eukaryota; Viridiplantae; Streptophyta; Magnoliopsida; Brassicales; Cleomaceae
Exons: 4
Source: RefSeq, a predicted model, not a curated record
CAAAUCAAGCUCAACUAAAUACAUAGAAUUCAAAUCUAAUUACCUUUUCCAGGAAGACAAUCGGGUCGCUGCCAAUCUAUUUCGGGAGAUCUGAAAAGAAUUUCAUGUUAAGGCUUCCAAAGAGAACUGUACCGGGGAAUGGGUAGGAGAAGACAAUCAUGACAGUCGAUGAGUUUCAUGAGAUUUCAAGAGGAAAAGUCAAUUGCGUCGGCGUCGAUGAGCUAUGGGAGAUGUUUAUCCAAUGAGUUAAGUUUAUCCAGUAGGAAAAUGCUAGCGACAUCACGAAGUACGUUGGGUUGAGGAGUUUCGCUCCCACACCGACCCCACAGAAGUUUGCUGAAACACAUCAACGACUCCGUGGUACCUUCUCUUUUUCUCCUUCGUUAAAUUCUUGAGACAGUACUCUCUCACUUUCUUAGAUUGUGUGGUUAGGGUUUUUGCUGUAUAUAUACUUGCUUUGAUUUUAUUGGCAUAUCAUCUUAACUAUCAUAUUUGUUUUGGUUUUUUAUUAUACUGAGCUCGAAGUUUGAGGAUGAAAUAAGGCUAGAAUUGAAGCGUACAGAAGCUGAUAUCAUAUCCAUGGAAAAUACAAACGGGACUUCUAAUGAUAAUUGGUUCUUGUCUUAUAUCCAACUCUGUCGGUAUCAUAUCUCUGAUAUUAGAUUUUAUUUUUGUUAAUCCAUUGUUACUUGAUUAAUGAAAUGCUUUCCUCCACCUCCUUCACGAUAUCUUCUGCUUACUUUCGAACAAACUUAACUAUGAAUCAUUCCCCUGAAUAUUCAUCAGGUGGUAAGGGCAAUGAGAAGGUUUGACCAUGCUUGGGGAAACAAUCAUAUAUAUGCUGCCUAUUCACUGUUUGUACAUUUGCUAGGUUUUCCUGGAAAAAGGUAAUUAGAUUUGAAAUCUAUGUAUUUAGUUGAGCUUGAUUUGGACCUUUUCUACACCAGGACGAACUUGAGAUCCUCGGGAUCUUUAGAGGCAGGUUUUCAUUGCUAGGUUUCUGAAGAAGAGCACGAGCAUUGCACUGGAUACUUGGCUCAGUUGGCUGGAGAAGACAAUUGGGUCGCUGCCAAUCUAUUUCGGGAGAUCUGAAAAGGUAUCGUUCACCUACUGUUUAAGUAGGUUUAGUUUUGAAAGUCUGCUUGAAUUCUGAUGUUCCCUAAGUUACAUUUCGUCCCAACAAUGACCUUGUCAAACUAAGUCUGCUUAUCCCUCUGAGUUGAUGUUUUCAUAUAGCUUUAGGAAUUUCAGGAUAUCAAGCGAAUACCCUUCUCAUGUUGGUCAAUAAACCCAUUAAUCAUUCCCCUAAGUAGUCUUGCAAUCAACAUUUGCUAGAUUUUCCUUGAUUAGGCAUCUUAAUUCGAAAUUUAUGUGCUUGGUUGAGUUUUAUUUGUAUUGCCCUUCUCUAAUAAGGACGAUCUUUAGAGUCCGAAUUUCAUGUUGAAGCUUCCAAAGAGAACUGUACCGGGGAAUGGAUAGAAGAAGACAAUCGGGUCGCAGCCGAUGAGUUUCAUGAGAUUUCAAGAGGUAUGGAUCUAUCUACUGUUUAAUUUUGAAAAUAUGCUUGAAUUCAUAUGUUAAAUUUUAUCCCAAUGACGUUGAAAACCUACGUUUACAUCAGGCACGUCUUGAGUUGUGAAUGUUACACUCUUACAUUUACGGGAAUCUCAGGAUAUUAAGCGAAUAUCCUUCUCAUGUUGAUCAAGGAUCUAUAUACCCUAAACCCAUAAAUUCUCCUUUAAAUAGACUUGUCAACAUUUUCUAGAUUUUCCUUGAAAAUAUAAUUGGAUUUUGAUAUCUAUAUGGUUAGUUUUGUUUCAAAUGGACUGAUAUUUACUACGUUAGGACGAUCUUGAAUGGUGGAUUUUCUUGUUGAGGUCUCCGAAGAGUACUGUAAUCCUCUAUUUUUUUAAAAAAAAAUUCAAAAUUGGAAAUUUUGUUGAAAAAUAGGUAGGAAAAGUCAAUCGGGUCGGCAUCGAUGAACUAUGGGAGAUGCUUAUCCAAUGAGUUAAGAAAGUGGUAAAUCAAAUCGACAAACAGUGUAAAAAAAUACUCAUUUAUUUUGCUUCAUAGUAUAAAGGUUUUCAUUGGAAAAACAGAAAAACAUUUCCUUACUCAAAACAAUGGUCAAUAAUUUUUUUUUUAAUUAUAUCUCAUGCAAGUAAGCGAUCAAAUUCAGAAAUUUCCGACAGAUGUUUUUUCAUACUCAGAGAUGGAUGAACAACAUAAUCUAUUUGCGUCUAAAUUAUACUUCUUAAGAACCUAAUUAAGUAAUAUAACUAAAACAGUUCCUUGGAGAUUAUCUCAAACCAACAGAGCCAAAAUCUACCAAACAAAGAUAAACGACUCCAUAAACACAAAAUGUGAUAGUUAAGAUGAUGUGCCAAUAGAAUCAAAGCAAGUAACUACACAACAAAAACCCUAACCACGCAAAGUGAGAAAGAGAGAGUGCAUUGUCUCAAGAAUUCAACGAAGGAGAAAAAGAGAAGGUACCAUG